AGAGUUUGAUCAUGGCUCAGAUUGAACGCUGGCGGCAUGCUUAAUACAUGCAAGUCGAACGGUAACAGAUUCUUCGGAAUGCUGACGAGUGGCGGACGGGUGAGUAAUACAUAGGAAUCUGCCCAUGUAGUGGGGGACAACUUGGGGAAACUCAAGCUAAUACCGCAUAAUUCCUACGGGAUAAAGAGGGCCACUGCUUGCAAGCUCUUGCUACUGGAUGAGCCUAUGUCGGAUUAGUUAGUUGGUAAGGUAAUGGCUUACCAAGACAGCGAUCCGUAGCUGGUUUGAGAGGAUGAUCAGCCACACUGGGACUGGGACACGGCCCAGACUCCUACGGGAGGCAGCAGUAGGGAGUAUUGGACAAUGGGCGCAAGCCUGAUCCAGCAAUGCCGCGUGUGUGAAGAAGGCCUGCGGGUUGUAAAGCACUUUCAAUUGGGAAGAAAGAUUAUGAGUUAAUACCUUAUAAUAUUGACGU
RNAcentral lists this ribosomal RNA (475 nucleotides) under uncultured bacterium. Its description in RNAcentral is "bacterial SSU rRNA". It matches the Rfam family "Bacterial small subunit ribosomal RNA", at positions 8 to 475 of the family's 1533-position model. The record is from RNAcentral.